UACGUAGGGUGCGAGCGUUAAUCGGAAUUACUGGGCGUAAAGCGUGCGCAGGCGGUUCGCUGUGUCCGAUGUGAAAGCCCCGGGCUUAACCUGGGAAUGGCAUUGGAAACUGGCGGGCUUGAGUGCGGCAGAGGGGGGUGGAAUUCCGCGUGUAGCAGUGAAAUGCGUAGAUAUCAGGAGGAACACCUAUUGCGAAGGCAGCUCGCUGGGACGUUACUGACGCUGAGACGCGAAAGCGUGGGGAGCAAACAGG
This 253-nucleotide ribosomal RNA is filed under the name uncultured bacterium. RNAcentral describes it as "partial 16S ribosomal RNA". It matches the Rfam family "Bacterial small subunit ribosomal RNA", at positions 524 to 776 of the family's 1533-position model. The record is from RNAcentral.